UUUGUAACAACAAUUCCAUUAAAGAACACGUGAUUCUGCCCACCAUAACACGGUUUCACUACACAGUGCAGCAUUUGAUGCAGCAAGGGAACAAGGAAGUUUCCAUCACUAAGGCCCUAAUUCUGCAAACAGCUAUUUUUUUGGCUUGAACUCUGUUUGCACAUGCAGUCGUCUAGUAACUACGCACAUAUGUAAAGUAAGCAACUACAUGAUCAAAUUCUAUUACCAAAAAGCUUGAUCAUCUGACAGCUGUUCAGGUAAUGAAAGAAAAAAAUGCCCACUCCUCAAAAGAAGCACACUCAACUGCCCUUAAAGCUUCCAUACCUCAAAAACAGAAACAGGACAGGAGAGAACAGGAUGUGGCGAGAUCACAUGCUUAGCGUGUAAAGGUAAUACUGAUCCAAAAUAUCUUGCAUUUGGGAAAAGCAAUGAUUAUUUUAAUCUCCAAGAGAAGUUAAGAACAAGUCACAACCAAAAAGGAAAGAAUUUGAAAGACAAUCCCACUGCUUGAUAGAACUACUCCUCCUGAAGAUGUAUACCUCACUGUCUUGAGCUACACAACCUCCAGAUCACAACUGCUUCCUAGCACAGAUGCUGUGAACACACAGAGGGAGUUCCUUCACUGCAGAGAUGUGAGCAUAAAUCAGUCCUUGCAGUACACAAAGCCGCACACAAAUGCACAACGAUUCAUGCUACUGCAUGAAGCCCCUUCACUGAAUGAGGAG
Molecule: long non-coding RNA, 725 nt
Organism: Gallus gallus (chicken)
Lineage: Eukaryota; Metazoa; Chordata; Aves; Galliformes; Phasianidae
Source: Ensembl